UAUUAUAUAAAAUUGAAAAUAAAUAUUUUACUGCUAUUUAAAUCUAACACAGUCAAGAUGCAGAAACCUCCUUAGAUCACCUUGGCACCUUGAUUAGCUAACAAUCCAAAGCUGAGUUUCCUUCCCUACAAAUGUGUUUAAGAUGUAAUUCACCAAUUUGAGCAUGUCCCAAGUUUCUCAAACUUGGUAUUGCAGAGAUCAUGGUACUGAUGCGGUUGGAUGAGAUCUGAUUUACCAAUGCAUUGGAGCCAAUUUCAUUCUAUUUAUUUCGAAUUCCUGUUUGCAGGCAAAUCUUUAAACCAUGGUCCAUGGGAGAGAACUCUGGGAUUAGCUUCCAUUUUAAAGCAAGUCCCAAAAGAUAACAUGUUAUCAUGAAGGACACCAACCAGGUCGCCACUUGCUCCUCUAUCUGGUUCCCUUUGCUAACACGAACCUUGUUGAGCUUCAUAGAGACUAAUUUUUUAUUUUAUUGUUGAAAUACUUGACUAAGUUCCUAGAGGUGCGUCACUUCAGCAUACUUUUUCAUGCUUUUAAAUAACGUUUAAAACAAAGAGGAAAUGCUGCAAAAACAGGUUUAAAAACAUAGAGGACACGUGUCGAAUCAUGAAUGGACAAUUUGAAAAUUUAAAGGAAAAAAUAUCCAACCAAAUGCUGCAAACUCAGUCUAUCCACAAUUCCAUGUUUUUAACCUGUUCAACCAUCAUUGCUGUAGAACAAAAAUUUCAUAAUAAAUAAUUUGUACUUUUACGGUAAGAUGGUGAUUUUUAAACUGAAGUUAAUUUCAACAUUCGCUUGUAGAAAGAAAUAAGUCCCAAGAAGACAAGAAUCUUAUUUAACUACCAUAGAUUGGUAAUAUCUAAAGAUGAAACAAUCGAGAAUCUUUAAUAAAUACGUGCCUACCAUUCAUGAAGCUAAAUUUUGUUUGUUUAAAAGUUUAUGCAAUUAUUUGCUAUGUAUGUAAACAUGCAAG
Molecule: long non-coding RNA, 970 nt
Filed under: Olea europaea (common olive)
Lineage: Eukaryota; Viridiplantae; Streptophyta; Magnoliopsida; Lamiales; Oleaceae
Description: long non-coding RNA (OEUR_LNC008894)
Source: RNAcentral